Molecule: non-coding RNA, 348 nt
Organism: Paramuricea clavata
Lineage: Eukaryota; Metazoa; Cnidaria; Anthozoa; Malacalcyonacea; Plexauridae
Source: the annotation of a GenBank genome assembly
CUGCUUCGACAGUUCCAAUUUCGUGACUGGUAUCAUUUGAUUCAUCCUGUAUAUAUACCCAGGAAAUUGCAGGAAUAUAAUUGUAUUCUGAGUCACAUUGAGAACCAUGAGUGCUGGAAAAUAUAUGUUUUCCCAAUAGCUUUUUAGUACUCCUUCACAUGUGAAUUCGAACUUCCGUCCCUUAAGCUACGUCACACGGCUCUCGCCCCAGACCCUUUUCCGUUUUUUUCUCGGGCGCGACAAUUUUUCGCUAAAAGCCAAUUUUUCAAGGUUUAGAACCUCAUAUCUCGCGAAUGAAAAGAGAAAACCGAAAAAUGUUAAAGAACCUAUUAACUAACUUUUUGUCCU